This 443-nucleotide ribosomal RNA is filed under the name uncultured bacterium. Its description in RNAcentral is "partial 16S ribosomal RNA". It matches the Rfam family "Bacterial small subunit ribosomal RNA", at positions 339 to 795 of the family's 1533-position model. The record is from RNAcentral.
CCACGGGAGGCUGCAGUGGGGGAUAUUGGACAAUGGGGGGGAACCCUGAUCCAGCGACGCCGCGUGAGUGAAGAAGUAUUUCGGUAUGUAAAGCUCUGUCAGCAGGGAAGAAAGCAAUGACGGUACCUGACCAAGAAGCCCCGGCUAACUACGUGCCAGCAGCCGCGGUAAUACGUAGGGGGCAAGCGUUAUCCGGAAUUACUGGGUGUAAAGGGAGCGUAGACGGCUGUGCAAGUCUGGAGUGAAAGGCGGGGGCCCAACCCCCGGACUGCUCUGGAAACUGUAUGGCUGGAGUGCAGGAGAGGUAAGCGGAAUUCCUAGUGUAGCGGUGAAAUGCGUAGAUAUUAGGAGGAACACCAGUGGCGAAGGCGGCUUACUGGACUGUAACUGACGUUGAGGCUCGAAAGCGUGGGGAGCAAACAGGAUUAGAUACCCCUGUAGUC